ACGCUCGACACCUACUGGAGGCAGCAGUGGGGAAUAUUGCACAAUGGGGGAAACCCUGAUGCAGCGAUGCCGCGUGAAGGAAGAAGUAUCUCGGUAUGUAAACUUCUAUCAGCAGGGAAGAAAAUGACGGUACCUGACUAAGAAGCCCCGGCUAACUACGUGCAGCAGCCGCGGUAAUCUGAGCGGGCUGGCAAGGC
RNAcentral lists this ribosomal RNA (197 nucleotides) under uncultured bacterium. Its description in RNAcentral is "partial 16S ribosomal RNA". It matches the Rfam family "Bacterial small subunit ribosomal RNA", at positions 328 to 539 of the family's 1533-position model. The record is from RNAcentral.